UUUUAGAGUUUGAUUCCCUGCUCAGGACGAACGCUGGCGGCGUGCCUAAUACAUGCAAGUCGAACGCUUUUUCUUUCACCGGAGCUUGCUCCACCGAAAGAAAAGGAGUGGCGAACGGGUGAGUAACACGUGGGUAACCUGCCCAUCAGAAGGGGAUAACACUUGGAAACAGGUGCUAAUACCGUAUAACAAUCGAAACCGCAUGGUUUCGGUUUGAAAGGCGCUUUUGCGUCACUGAUGGAUGGACCCGCGGUGCAUUAGCUAGUUGGUGAGGUAACGGCUCACCAAGGCAACGAUGCAUAGCCGACCUGAGAGGGUGAUCGGCCACAUUGGGACUGAGACACGGCCCAAACUCCUACGGGAGGCAGCAGUAGGGAAUCUUCGGCAAUGGACGCAAGUCUGACCGAGCAACGCCGCGUGAGUGAAGAAGGUUUUCGGAUCGUAAAACUCUGUUGUUAGAGAAGAACAAGGAUGAGAGUAGAAUGUUCAUCCCUUGACGGUAUCUAACCAGAAAGCCACGGCUAACUACGUGCCAGCAGCCGCGGUAAUACGUAGGUGGCAAGCGUUGUCCGGAUUUAUUGGGCGUAAAGCGAGCGCAGGCGGUUUCUUAAGUCUGAUGUGAAAGCCCCCGGCUCAACCGGGGAGGGUCAUUGGAAACUGGGAAACUUGAGUGCAGAAGUAGAG
This 684-nucleotide ribosomal RNA is filed under the name Enterococcus avium. RNAcentral's name for it is "bacterial SSU rRNA". It matches the Rfam family "Bacterial small subunit ribosomal RNA", at positions 1 to 659 of the family's 1533-position model. Lineage: Bacteria; Bacillati; Bacillota; Bacilli; Lactobacillales; Enterococcaceae. The record is from RNAcentral.